CUUUCCCUCCCCUUUCGGCAAAAACCCCAACGCCGAGCAGAGCCGUCCCCCUUCCCCACCCAACCACGGCCCCGUCCCGUACCCAACCCCAGCGAAAACCCUAGCCGGAGCAUCCACCCGAUGUCUCUCGGCAGGCCCUACCGCGGCAAUGCCGCCGCAGGCGGCGAUGAUCGACGCGCUGCGCCGCUCGGCAACCGGCGGGGCCAAUCCGCCGCCGCCGGCGGCGGCGGCGCGGCGCUGCCCGGCUCCCUCGGCCUCGGGAGCUUCCCGCGGCACGACCUCCCCGCCCCACCCGACGGGCUCGACCUCAACGCCGUCGUCGCGCCGCCGGUGAGCCAAGUUGCCCCAGCCCCAGCUCGUCCUUCCCAUGCCUGUGUACAAAAACUCCGAGAUCGUGUCCGUACCUUGGAGACUGCAUUUUCUGACGCGGAUAGGAUUUUAAGGGAUAUUCAAGGUGAAAUACAACAGAUGAGGGAGGAGGGGCAUGAGAAAGACAGGCAAAUCCGAUCUAUCGUUGAAGAUUCAGAGAAGGAACGUCGGUCAAGGCACAUUAGAAUCAAGCAAUUCGACCAUGAUAAAGAGCUGAUGCGUGGCACCCUUCAGGGAUACAAAGAAAAACUUAAGAAGUCUUCUGAUGCAUUUCUGGAGUAUAAGAGGAUGUGUGAAGGAAGUGGCGUGUCAUCUUCGGGUGUUAUGGCUGAUGAGCAAAAUCGUAUUCUUAUGAUGGAGAAGCAAUCAUGCGUAGAUAACAUUACUUGGUUUCGGAAAUAUAUGCUAUCGAGGUUUGGAGAAUGUGCUGAUGAGAUUGCAAUACUGGCAACAAGGACUGCAUACCUCAACAAUGAACUUCAAAGGCUGAAUGAUUAUAUACAAAUUCCAGAUCUCAACAAUGGGGGUCCUCAACUGUGAAUUCUACAUUGGAGACUACAAGGGUGAUGCAGGUGGCCAUUGAAGCUUUUGCCAUGAAGGAUGGGAACUGAAGAUGAGGAGGAUUGCAUAUAUUUUGGUGUUGCUGACAUAACCAAGAUGCCGCAACAUGGUGCCUUAAGUAUUAUUAGUUCUGUAGCCUGUACCCGCAUACCGUGCUAUGUAAAGCCUAUUAUCAAAGACUCAAAAUAGAUGAUUUUGGACUGAAUGGAGGCUUUGACAAAUUAUCGUCAUUUGAAUGGGUAUAUCUGAUGUAGAUUACUCCAGUCCUCCCAAGAAAAGAUUGAAGCACAGCAGUUCAAAUGGGAAUGAUCGUUAUGAAGGGAAACAAGAAACACUAAGAGACUUCUCCUUUUCUUUUGAUAUUUGUGAGUAAGUUACACUGGCUUGUGGAGUGGUAGAUGUUUUUCUCAUAACUUCACGCAGUUAGUUGAUUGUGUUUAUUUUUGUUCUUAAAAGGCUGAGCAAGUUCAAUCUUCAAGUGAUGUUUGGAUUUGAGGAAAAUGAUAUGAGUAGACUUACAUAAAAAGUGGACCCUGACUCUUUAGAUGGUAGCAGUGAUCCGCAAAGAGGUCUUUCAGGCAUGGUCACAUAUUCCUAGAGAUAAUGAAGUAAGGAACAAGCACAGGAUGUUUUGCACUUUGAAGCCUACUCGUUUGACAAGGCAGGGAAUAGUAAAGAACAGAAGGAGUCUGAUUUUAAGUAUUAGUGCUGUAUACUGGAUGUGUUUUUUAAAAUGCACAUCCUACAAACUUAAUUAAAAGGUACUCAUGAAAGGCUAAUGCUGUAUCUGUAUCACUCCCGAAUGUGCUUUUAAAAAAUGCAAGGAACACAAGCAUGCACCACCUGAAAUCUUCUUUCUCACCUGAAAUCUUUUCUAAACACUUAGGCAAAAACAUACACUGCAAUCCUGCAUCACCAAGGUUGUCAACAACCUCCUUUAAUGGCAAACAUGGGCAAGAAAUGAUCACUCUGCAAAACAGUGUGUUGGAUUAAAAUAUUAGUCUGCAGAUGUUUACUAUGAUAUGCAAAUCUUUCUGUCAUUUUUUAUUGCUGAGCUGUACAUAUUAAUGUGUUUGGUUCUCAUAGCAUUACAGUGUUUUAUUUGUUUGUUCAUUUACACGGAUCAAACGGUAUAUACCUAGCUUCUUUCUUCUGGUAUCCUCUCAUCACUUUGAUGUGAUUCUACUUGAAUGAUUCUUGCGGUGAAUGGGAAUUUUGGAUGGAUAU
Molecule: RNA transcript, 2157 nt
Organism: Triticum aestivum (bread wheat)
Lineage: Eukaryota; Viridiplantae; Streptophyta; Magnoliopsida; Poales; Poaceae
Exons: 3
Source: RefSeq, a predicted model, not a curated record